CUCAAAGUUUUAUUUGCUAUAGGUCUGUAGUGGUUCCAAUGAGAUGGCCAAUAGGCUCAAAUAGUUGUACUGAAACUGAUCCUGUGCAAUCACUAUCAGAACCGUUGGCUUCACUUAGUUUGAGGGAUGAUUCAGAAUCAUCAUCUACAACUUUUAGAAAUAAGUCUACUAUGGGGAGAAGUGUUGUCACGAAGUGGUUAAUAAAUUUUCCAAUUGACUAAUGAGGUCAUUGGGUUGGCAGUCGUGAUUCCUCAAACAAAGAUCAUAACCAUCACCAGCCAUGUUUCUUACAUAUUAUACAUGUCCUACCCAUCUUAACUACAUUCAAUGCACAUUUGUUCUUAUUUCUUAUUUUGUUUUCUUUUUCUAAAGUAUUGAAAAACUCUACUCUGGUUAGAGGAUUUAAGCUAAGAAUAUAAUACUCUCUUGAGAAAGACUACUGCCCAUCUCUCUGUAUUUGCAUGCAAUUUCAUGCAAAAAAGCAUUUUGAUCUUAUUUGCAUUAAGUGCUAUUGCAUCA
Quercus robur (English oak) is the source of this 519-nucleotide long non-coding RNA. RefSeq lists it as uncharacterized. The transcript is spliced from 3 exons. The record is from RefSeq and is a predicted model, not a curated record. Lineage: Eukaryota; Viridiplantae; Streptophyta; Magnoliopsida; Fagales; Fagaceae.